Molecule: ribosomal RNA, 491 nt
Filed under: uncultured bacterium
Lineage: Bacteria
Description: partial 16S ribosomal RNA
Rfam family: Bacterial small subunit ribosomal RNA
Source: RNAcentral
AGUGAACGCUGGCGGUAGGCCUAACACAUGCAAGUCGAACGGCAGCACAGUAAGAGCUUGCUCUUACGGGUGGCGAGUGGCGGACGGGUGAGGAAUACAUCGGAAUCUACUUUUUCGUGGGGGAUAACGUAGGGAAACUUACGCUAAUACCGCAUACGACCUACGGGUGAAAGCAGGGGAUCUUCGGACCUUACGCGAUUGAAUGAGCCGAUGUCGGAUUAGCUAGUUGGCGGGGUAAAGGCCCACCAAGGCGACGAUCCGUAGCUGGUCUGAGAGGAUGAUCAGCAACACUGGAACUGAGAAACGGUCCAGACUCCUACGGGAGGCAGCAGUGGGGAAUAUUGGACAAUGGGCGAAAGCCUGAUCCAGCCAUACCGCGUGGGUGAAGAAGGCCUUCGGGUUGUAAAGCCCUUUUGUUGGGAAAGAAAAGCAGCAGGUUAAUACCCCGCUGUUCUGACGGUACCCAAAGAAUAAGCACCGGCUAACUUCGU